This is a long non-coding RNA of Mus musculus (house mouse), 1285 nucleotides long. RefSeq annotates it as predicted gene, 33427. Lineage: Eukaryota; Metazoa; Chordata; Mammalia; Rodentia; Muridae. The record is from RefSeq and is a predicted model, not a curated record. The transcript has 2 exons.
CACUAUGUACACCAGGUUGGCCUCUAACUCACAGAGAUCCUCAUGCCUCAGCCUCCUGGGUGCUGGCAUUAAAGGCGUCAUGGAUACGGUAUUUUUUAAGUGUGAAAAAACGUUUAGGGGAACACAUUUUUCUUGAAGGUAGCCAGUUUACAUCUGUUGUUGGUUGGUUUUUGGUUUUGUUGUUGUUGUUGUUGUUGUUGUUGUUGUUGUUGUUUUACAUUUAUUUAUUUGUCCUCCAGGGAGGGGGAUGUCCUGGCACGUGUAUGAAGGUCAGAGGACAACUUGUUGAAAUUGCUUCUCCCCUUCAGCACCACAUAAACUGGGUGUGGCUGGCACGCCCUGGUGUGGUGGAGGCAGGAGGAUCAUAAGUCAAGGUCAACCUCGAAUAUAUAGCACUUUUACUUACAUCAAUUAUAAGCAAUGGACUAUAAGCAAAAGCAAAAAUGUCCAAAUUUACCUUGCCACAGAACUGGAGAGAUGGUUCUACAAUUAAGAGCACUGGCUGCUUUCACUAAGGACCUGGAUUUAGUUCCAGCUCAUAAUGGCCAAUAACUCCAGCUGCAGGGCAUCUGAUGCCUCUUUUGGCCUCUGUGGGCACUUGCUCAAAUGUGGCACACAUAAAUUCAUGCAAGCACACAUAUACGUAUAAAAUAAAUCAAUCCUUUUUUUUUUAAUCUACCCUAUCACCAACAAAGCUGAUUUUCUUGGAACAAGUGAAAACCUGUAAAUCUAUAGUCUUCUCAGUGAAUAAAUCAACAGGCCUAGUGGAAAAUAUCCUGUCGAUUCAGAUUUCAUCUGUCUUCUAAAGUGUUUGUGAGAGCUGGUGGAAAUAGUCAAGUCUAGCAUGAAAACAAAGCUCUUUGUAUUCAUGGUGACUCCUCUGGCUGAUAGACUGGCUAGAGUCUUCCUGUGUUGGUCCUGGAGUUGCUACAUUUAAAGUUUUCCCUCAGUCCAGAAAACUACAAGAAAGUCAAAACUGAGGAGAAAUGUGAGAAACAAAUUUAUACAAGACAUGCAAGUGUGUGUGAGAGUGUAUCAGUAAGUGUCCAUGCCACAGUAUGUGUAUGGAGGUCAGAGGACAACCUUCUUCCAUCUCAUCUGAGGAGGAUCUCCAUUGUUUUCCUGAUGCGUACAGCAGGCUAGUCUCUCACAAGCUCUCCGAGAUUCUCCUGCCUCUAACUGCACAGCAAACGCUUUUACCCAGUUAGCCAGCUCCCUGGUCCCUGAUUGCUUGUUUCAAUUAUUCCUCCUCCUAAAUAAAGACUGUGAAAUUAAUUUCCUAAAA